UUUCCAUAUAUUCUUGCCUCUCCAACAUAUUUCUAUUCCACCAUACACCUUAGUACCUUUCCAUGAUACUACCCCAUUCAAAACAUUUUAAUCCAUCCAUGGUGCCACUGUGUUGCCAGGAUAUCACUGCAGUAGCAGAACUUCACUGCUUUUCCUGUAUCCCUCUACAUCACCCCAUUAUAUUGCUCUUCUAGAAUGCCACUUCUAUCCCACCCUCUCUUCCUCCUCCCCCCCACAUUUUUGUCUUUCCCAGGUUGCCACUAAAAUGACACAAUAUCACUGCACCAUUAGCACCUUCAACAUUUCAAUACACCACCAGUAUCAAGAAGUCCUCCUGCACUCCUCUGCAACAAAAUAUAUAUCUACACCUUAAGCCUUUUAUUGCACUGCCAGUAUCUCACUGUAUUCCUGGCAUUUUACUGGAUUUGUCUAAUCUUUUUCAUUCCUUAAUUACUUCACUGCCAGACUAGAAUUACACUGCAUCCCAAACAUACAAUUCCACAGUACCCCCCGCAGGUCACUGCACUGACAUAGCUCCACUGUACCUCCACUUCACUGGUACAAUAUCACUGCAUCUCCAGCAGUUCACUGCACUUGCCAAAUCUCUUUGCAUCCCCAGCAUGUCAAUGCACUUGCACAAUCCAAUUGCAUAUAAAGCAGAUAACUGCACUGUCACAACCUCACUGGAUUUCAUUGCACUGGCAAUAUCUAAUUAUACUGCUGCAAUCUUACUGCAUCUUGGACACUUCACUGAGCUGGCAAAACCUUGCUGCAAUCCAGAAGCUGGCUGUUGUGGCACAAUUACUGUUCCCCCCCAUCUCACUGCACUGGCACAAUCUCCCUGCAUCCCCACUAUGUCACUGCACUCACAAAAUCUUACUGCACCUCAAUAUGUCAUUACACUUGUUCAAUCUAAUUGCAUCAUCACCACCUCAGAACACUGGCACAAUCUCACUGCAUUCUCAGUACCUGACUGCACUGGCACAGUCUAGCUGUAUCCUUAGUAUAUUCCUGUUCUGGCACAAUCUCACUGGCCUACUCUUCACCUGUGUUCCCCCAAAUUCGUACAGCACUUUUGUCAUAUCCCUGAAUCACUGCACUUUUAAAACAUAUGAGUAAUGUCAUAAUCCUGCUUCCCAUGUAGCAUUUCCCACGCCUCCACUUGUCCAGAUCUUGCAUUUUUCCUUCUGAUGCUAUUUGGAGCACACAUCUUGCCUUGGUGCCUCCUGUAAGCAUCCCUACUCCUUCCAUAUAGGUUGCAGACCUACUUGGCAUGUGCUCUUUAUCCUCUUGUAUCCACAUCUGUCCAUAUUGCACGAUAUGAGAUUACAAGUCACAUCUCCUAUGAUUCUUUUACAACUGCUUAUCUGGAAUGUUUCCUCUUCAUCUCCAUUUACCACAAAAGAAAACGCUCAGAUGUCCUUGGUGUUUCCUCUCACUCCAGGCCACAAAGUCAGUGAAAGGAGGAAAGGGAUCUGAAUCCUGAAGCCAGAUGCCCAUUUAUUGGCUACAGUGGCAUCUCCGGUGCUGUCAAGUUUUAGGUUGAUGGAAGUUCGCAUCGGUUCGCUAUCUAGUGACUUUCUUCCAAUCUCCUGGAGUUAAAUGGGAUCUCCUAAGUUAUUCCUGUGCCACUAAGAAGGGGGGACUAAAAGGCGUGAAUAAAUGGCCAAACAGAUCCUGCAGUGCCCGCACAAUAGAUAUCAAAGCAUUGUGGAUAAUGAAUGGAGCCCACUCUUUGGGUUGCUGCACACGUCUGCACCAGCCUGGUAGGAUCGGGGGAGCGCAAGUGAAUCCCAUACACCUAUUUUUGGAGCUAUGAGUAAAUAAGUGUAAGAAAUCUAAUCGUCCCAUCCAAUCUAAAAGACUUUUUUUUUGGUAACUCGGCUACCCCUCCUUUUGUCCUGCGAGUGAUCGCUUCAAGGCCAUCCAACAGACUGGCUCCUCUCGGAUUCUGCUAAAUCUUCCAAAUACCUUUUGAUAACCCAGCAACUUUAUCCUCUUUCACCUUCCAGGUCACAGAAGGUCCGAGAACUAUACAGCAGCUAGAAAACAGUGCAGGAACUUAAUUACCAUAUGAAAGGCGUGACCUGUGGCCAGUCUGAGUGUUGAUGAGGUCAAAAUCUACUCGGCUGAAAAAAAACUGCUUCGGUUUUCAUUCUGCACCUGAUCUAUGUGGAAAAGAAUUUAAGACAGAAUAAUAAUCGGAAAACAUUUUAAAUUCAAUGACAAAGAGAAGAACAUUACAGAAAAAUCUGCUGCCAUCACAAGAAUCCCAUAAAUGCCUGCCAAGAAACAGUAAGCAAGGAUUAACAAAAAUGACAUUAAGAAGAGGCCAAAGAGUGUCAUUAACAAAAAGAAAAUAAGAAGAGGCCAAAGAGAAUCUUUUGAUAGAAUUAUGCCAAAUUUAGAUAAUAUAGCUGAAAAUUGCUGCCUGCCUGGGCACUGGCCAAAGGGUUAUUAUGACCACUUAGGUAUUAUGGGUGAUCACUUUGGACUUCAUAGGCAAGCAGACUGGACCUGACAUAUAUGAACACAGGCCAAGGGAGCUGAACUUUUUUCACAUUGAUGGCCCUUUUGUUAAGCCACCAAAAAGAGUGAACAACUACGUGGGACCUGGAUUUCAUAUAAAGCAGUAACCUCGCUACUGGAUCAGGAAAGCAAGCAACAUGGUAUUGGGAGUUGUAGAGAAUAAAAUAUAUAAAGCUAUGACAGGAUUUCUUUAAGUGGCAGCUAAAGUAUAGAGAGCAUUAACUGGAGGGGUUUCUGAGACUGAGGGCCAUUUAUUAGGGGCUUUAAAAUGGUUACAUAGAACAACAUAAUAUUAUAUUAUUAAAAUAAGGGGUUAGUAAAGUUAUAGUAUUUGGAAGUAUGUAGAAAGAAGACCAUAGAGACAUAUGAUUAAAUGGAGCAAUUGGGGCAAUUAUAGAGACAGAGAAUAUAUGUUACAGUGAAAUAGGAGUUAUACAGUGAGGUUAUGUCAGUGUUUCUUAACCUUUUUAUUUCCUGGCACCCUUAAUAUUUUUGGGAAUCUGUCUGGCGACCCACAUAUUGGUCAAGGGCAAUGCACAUGGGAUGUUUUCUCACCCAUUGUAAAUAGGUGCUCGAAAAUGCCCCAUUAUGCUUUUUUCCACAAUUAAGUUAUAGGAAAGUUUUAUAUAUGUUGCAUUUUGUAAUUUUGGAUAUUUUCCCAGGGCAGGGACCACAAAAUUCUCCAUUUAACAUUGCCUUAAGAAUCCAUUUUUUACCUUAGCUUUUAAGGUAGCUUUUACUGUAUUUAAAAUAAUAAUGGAAAAGCAGGCCCAUUUUUGUGUCCUGACCAAAAAAUACUUGGGUUAUGUGGAGCAAUAAGAAAAGUUAUGCAAAAUAAGGUUAUAUUGAGCUAUAGUAGCAAGAAGAUAGUGAGGUUAUGUGGGCAACAGGAAACAGAGUACAGAGAGCAGUGAUAUUGUACAAUAGAAGUUAUAUAUAGAGAGAGAUAUAUAGAGAUAUAUAGCAAUCAGAGAUAUUAAUGGGAUGAUAUGUAUUUAUAAUUAUGUCUGACGUAUAUGUCUGGUUUUAUUAAACCAAGGGAAAUUAUUUCAUUAGAGCAGGAAGUUCUAGGAUUACAAUUUUUUAAGCAUUAUAAAAGUUGCAGAAACAGUUGUAUAAGAAUUGUUCCCUAAAGACAUAUGGCAGUCAGUGUAUUGAGUAUGCAGCCCCCUCAUGGAAUAACUGACUUUUCUAUGUCAUUGUUAUCGAUCACGGACCUCCUACUAAAUACUCAUUCAUCCAUAUCCAGUUCUUCUGAAAAGAACCACAGCUUACAAGUGAUUUCAGGAUUUUAAGGGGUCUGAAACAAAGGUUAAUGGUUCUAAUCUGUUAUUUACUCUUCUUGGCCCGAGCCAUUAAUUUUAAAAAUUACAGUUUAUUGUAGUCUAGGUUGUAGCAUUAAUCUACUACUGUUAUUCAGAUACUAGUUCCUACAGGUGCUAGUAUUUGUUUUCAAAACACGGGAAUUGAAACACUAAAGCAAGUGAAUGUACAAUAUGGUGUACAAGCUGUGAAGUAGCUAAAGGCUUUUGAACCCCCAUAAAUCUGUAGGAAGAGCCAUAAACCCAGUAGGAAUGUGUGUAAACACAAGCUAAACAUCAGCAGGGAAGCAUCUGCUCUAAUGACAGGGGUAGAGCUGUAUAGUGUAUUCAUGAAACUAAUUGUCAUUGUUUUACAGACAUGCCCCAGUUCUGAUUAACUUCCUAAAAUAACAGGCUAAAUUGAAAUAAUCCAAACCAAGUAACUAACAUCUUGAGCUUUUGUUUUCUUACAAUAGGUAACCAAAGAAAUCAGCUCCUUGGGAUAGAGGGAGCAAAGGCAAGUGGGAAGGAAGAUCAUCUUACACACGUGUUUUUUAACAAAUGAGGAAGUUAUUUUUAUAACCAUUGUGAAAUGCCCCGUGAAUCAUAAUAUGGGCCUUGCAGCUAUCAGUCUUUAUAGAAAACAAAAUGAAGCUAUAGUGGUCCUAUAAAGGGUAAAUGUGGGUUAUAUUCCAAUUAUUAUAGGUUUGUAAAUAGAGUGGGAGACAAAAGUUACUUUUUUAUGCAUUUUCAUAAAUGAGAGCUAUUGCUUAAGAGUGGUUGAGAAUCGAUUCCAUCAUUGCCAGUGAGCUUGUACCUCCUGCUGUGUGUACCCUCUACUGUGGCUUCAUAAGGGUACAGUGUAGUCAGUCACAGCAUAAAAUGCCACUUGACAAGGUACAAGAGGACACAGGCAUUUUUGCACCCUAACACACCUGCAGACAAAAUAACACCUCCAAGUUACAUUUGGAUGGCACAAAAAUAAUAUGGAUUUCCUGUAUCUAUUCAUAUACGGGUUUAGGAACAGCACAGCUCAGGCUAGAAUUGCCCAUACAAUAUGCCUUGACCCCAUAAAGGACUGCCUUGGUGCCUUACAUUAGUGCUUUGUAGUAGUACAAAAGAUAGGAAUUUGGUAAAGUGAAUCUACAUCUUUUUCGUCAAAUAAAAGACACGCAAAACCUACAUAUUUGUUUUUGUUACAGUUAUUUUAAUGUAAAUAAAAGGCACAAUGAGCUAUAGACAUGUUUCCCCAGGAAGUAAGUUUGUUGGCUCAUGCCAACACAAAGGCCUAGUGACACAAGACUGUCACUGUCUGGGUCACUUUGUCAUGCUAAGCACUGUAGCCUAAUUAGACCCCUCUUUAGUCACUUAUCUUUUGUGACCCCAAGUGUUAAACACACUGGAUCAGACUGGAAUCCAAAUGGGAGUAUAAACAGAUGCUGAGGGUCUCAUUGGAACUGAUUAGUAUUCAUCAAAAUGUGAGAGCGGCCACCAGUCCCCCUCCUGCUCUAUGCAGCACUGAGGGAAUGUGGAGGGGGCAAUGUGCGUAUUUAAGGAUCUGGGAAAAUAUUGGGGCGGCGAUGGAAAUUGUUCUGGCAAGUAUGGAAUCUUUUUUUUAUGAAUAGCUUGAAACAUUAUGGCUCAUGUAUGGUUAUAAUUUUUUUAUUUAAUAAAAGCAUUUUAAACCUGCUA
Long non-coding RNA from Xenopus tropicalis (tropical clawed frog), 5522 nucleotides. RefSeq lists it as uncharacterized. The transcript has 4 exons. NCBI's taxonomy places the organism in Eukaryota, Metazoa, Chordata, Amphibia, Anura, Pipidae. The record is from RefSeq and is a predicted model, not a curated record.